AGAUUGCUGAGGAGACCUCGGAGUUCUUGGAGCAGCAACUCACCAGCGACAUCAUCAUGUCGGACAGCUACCUCCGUCCUGCCCCUUCACCAAGGCUGGAGUCAUGAUGGACAGACACUAGGAGGGAAUAAGGCUUGGGGCUGGUUUAUCAUCUCAAGGAUUGCUUUUCCAGCUGGCUGGGGUUUGGACUCGGGUCUCUGGACUUAGCUUUUGUGUGGUGUUUCCUGGGUCAGGACCAGAGUCAACGGGAUGGACAUGUGGCAAAAAGCCUUGGACUUGGCUGUGAUCUUUGACUAUUGGGGGAGGGAUCCUGGGUAUGGUGAGACGGUGAUGAGAGAAAAGGGUGACAAAGGUGAGGGAAAGCCUUUCUACCAGUGAACUCUUCGUGCCUCAGGAGACAGGGCAACUUCUGGGUAGGCAUUGGAGCAGCAGGCUAGGAGCAGUUAUUCUGGGGACCGUUGAGGUUUACUUCUUUCCAGUGUCAUAGUCCAGACUAAUAUUUAUACUGAGACAAGGUAAGAAAAUGGCCCACAUCUUCUCAUUUGCUAACUAGGUUAAAAAAAAAAAA
RNAcentral lists this long non-coding RNA (568 nucleotides) under Rattus norvegicus (Norway rat). RNAcentral's name for it is "long non-coding RNA NONRATT016775". Lineage: Eukaryota; Metazoa; Chordata; Mammalia; Rodentia; Muridae. The record is from RNAcentral.